Molecule: ribosomal RNA, 405 nt
Filed under: uncultured bacterium
Lineage: Bacteria
Description: bacterial SSU rRNA
Rfam family: Bacterial small subunit ribosomal RNA
Source: RNAcentral
AAUGGGCGAGAGCCUGAACCAGCCAUGCCGCGUGCAGGAAGACGGCCCUAUGGGUUGUAAACUGCUUUUGUUUGGGAAGAAAAGGCGAUACGUGUAUUGCACUGACGGUACCAGAUGAAUAAGCAUCGGCUAACUCCGUGCCAGCAGCCGCGGUAAUACGGAGGAUGCGAGCGUUAUCCGGAUUUAUUAGGUUUAAAGGGUGUGUAGGCGGAAGAUUAAGUCAGUGGUGAAAUCUCACAGCUCAACUGUGAAACUGCCAUAGAUACUGGUUUUCUUGAGUACAGUUGAAGUAGGCGGAAUGUGUAAUGUAGCGGUGAAAUGCUUAGAUAUUACACAGAACACCGAUUGCGAAGGCAGCUUGCUAAGCUGUUACUGACGCUGAUGCACGAAAGCGUGGGGAGCGAA